Molecule: long non-coding RNA, 1289 nt
Organism: Myotis brandtii (Brandt's bat)
Lineage: Eukaryota; Metazoa; Chordata; Mammalia; Chiroptera; Vespertilionidae
Exons: 4
Source: RefSeq, a predicted model, not a curated record
CGUGUCCACUCACACGGCCGGCAGGGAGGGCCCGCAGAUGGAGGCCCAAGUGCCGGGGCUGCAGGGAAGGAAGCACAGCGUCCAACACGCACAGACCACACUUCCCUUUGUCUCAGUGGAGAAGGGAGUCCCGUUUACCGGAAAAUUCACACACCGUGUAACGGACACAUCGUCAGGCUAUCGCCGAUGAGCUCCGGAAAAUGCUCCCACCUGCGUGACUGACACCCCUGGAGGAGCUGUGGCCACCCCCCCUCCACCCCUUUCACCUGGGACGGCUGCCAUCCGGAAGGGCGUGGACUUGUUCAAGGACACAGACCUGGCCACCGCAGACCAGCAGAUGGAGAGCUUUUUCCAGCUUUUAUACAAAAAUAGCCACGCAGGUGCAGGUCUGCUGAGUCGGCGCAGGCCGCCCCCAGCCACAGCUGCGCCCCCUCGGUGAACGGGGUGCCAGACCACACUCCCGGGGCUCCCUCCACCGAGCGAGGCCUCCUCUCAUCAUUGUGAGGCUUCUGGGCACAGACCCCACCUUCAUUCCUGUGGUAUCUCUUGCCCGUCCCCCUCCAUAGACCCCACACCUCGCUCAGGUUCUUGAACAGAGUGCUUCUCAAUCAGCGGGGACAGACAGACAGGUGGACGGAUGGAAGGAUGGACAGAUGGACGGACAGACAGAUGGACAGACGGACCAAGCACGGAGUAAACAGUCAACACCCAGGUGCUGGCUGUCAUCAGUGCCGACGAGUCCUGGUGUCGCCUGCUCCCUGGGGCUGCCCCCUGGGUGGGGGUGGGAGAGUUACCUCACACCAGUGCUGGUUUGGCUCACCCAACCAGGCUCGUUAACCCGCCCUUGGCCCCACGACCCGCCCGCCCUCGGAGCUGGCUUCCCUCCUUCCUCCGGGCAGACACCUGCUACCUAUGCCCUGCAUCUGUGGACGGUGGCCACGCCAGCUUGUUCUCCAGCGGAUUUCUUGUCCCUGUACGAUGUGGAUUCACAGUCAUGUUUGGGAGAAGAGGGUCACGUCUCUCCUCCUGCCAGGCCUCUGUGCUGGUCCAGCCUGGACCACACCCCCCAGAAAUGCCCAGGACCGCUCAUCGACCGACCCAAUCCCCAAGUGCCCUCCGUUCCUCCUCCUUGCUCACAGCUCCGAGGUGACUCCUGGGCCAGCACCACGGGCUCACAGACGCUAUUCUCAGACAGGCUGGAGGCGAGUCUGAGACCGAGGCCGGGCCUCUCCUGCCUCCGGGGGCUCCACCAGAGCGGAAGGGAGAGGGAGAGAAACGUCAGUGAAGAG